GUGCUAUAGUUCAAUUAUACUGAUAUGUGUUCUAUAAAAACUUUAUUAAUCUUUCUUUGAAAAGAAAAAUAUUCGACUCAUAAUAUAUAAUUUUUGACUCAUAUUAUUUAUCAAUAAAGCAAUGUUAUUGAUUUUGAUUUUGAUUUUAAGGAUACAUUGUACUAGAACACACCCGUGAAAUCGCUGGUCCGUGACUGAAUUAAAGUAUAUAACUAUGUGUAAGCCUUAUUUCAGUCAGGAUAUUUAGUAUUGAUAUUGUCAUCUGAUAAAGUCAUGCUGAUUAUAAGAUGCACAGUUUUCUCUACUUUCAAAAUCUUUCUGUUUGAUACCUGAUUUACAGACUUAGUCAACCCGAUUAACAGACCAACCGCCCAUAUAGCCGCAUACUAAAUAUAGAUUAAUCGACCAAUCUCUCGGUUAGCCGAGUGACGGCCGUGCUUCUGUGCACGAUUUUGUUUUACGCAUUCAUAUCGUAUAAUCGUCAACAAGAAAAUUCUCUCGGUCUGUUAUGAAGCCCGAUUGUCACCUUAGUAAACAAUCAAAAAAGGAGCAUGGAUAUUGAGCAUAUAACAUGUACAAUAAUAUAAUAGUUUAUUUUAAUGGCAGGUCCAUGCGUAUUGCGAUCACCGGAUUUUAAAGAAAAGGGUCACGCUGAAUUCACUGCAUACGGAAAACCUAUUGGCGAAUUGUUGACUGGAAGCAAACAAUUAAAAAAAGUAAAUAUAUUCUUAAUUUUGACAAAUUAUAGAAUUUUCUUGGGAAAAAAG
Molecule: long non-coding RNA, 767 nt
Filed under: Mytilus galloprovincialis (Mediterranean mussel)
Lineage: Eukaryota; Metazoa; Mollusca; Bivalvia; Mytilida; Mytilidae
Source: RNAcentral